GAUCCUGGCUCAGAGUGAACGCUGGCGGUAGGCCUAACACAUGCAAGUCGAACGGCAGCACAGGGGAGCUUGCUCCUUGGGUGGCGAGUGGCGGACGGGUGAGGAAUACAUCGGAAUCUACUCUGUCGUGGGGGAUAACGUAGGGAAACUUACGCUAAUACCGCAUACGACCUACGGGUGAAAGCAGGGGAUCUUCGGACCUUGCGCGAUUGAAUGAGCCGAUGUCGGAUUAGCUAGUUGGCGGGGUAAAGG
Molecule: ribosomal RNA, 252 nt
Filed under: uncultured bacterium
Lineage: Bacteria
Description: partial 16S ribosomal RNA
Rfam family: Bacterial small subunit ribosomal RNA
Source: RNAcentral